This is a long non-coding RNA of Herpailurus yagouaroundi (jaguarundi), 1228 nucleotides long. RefSeq lists it as uncharacterized. The record is from RefSeq and is a predicted model, not a curated record. The transcript has 2 exons. NCBI's taxonomy places the organism in Eukaryota, Metazoa, Chordata, Mammalia, Carnivora, Felidae.
UGUCUCUCCUUCUCUCUGCCCUCCCCCUGCUCAGACACUCUCUGUCUCCCUCUCAGAAUAAAUAAACUUGAAAACGUAUGUCAAAAAAGUAACAAAUUUAGAAUAACACCAAACUCCAUAACACAGCCUAGAAAUCCCAGUCAGCUCUAAUCCUCGCUUACUUAGUGUCUUUCUACACAAAACUUAUCCAAACUCCCAGUACCACGACCAUAUUAGACUAAUUUCAGGAACUCAACCACAAUUUCACCACACUGUCUGACAGACAUUUUCCCUGUCUCUGGAAGCCUCUUUUCUCUAUUCUCUAUCAAGUGAACUCUCAACCACUCUCCAUAAAAAGCUGAAUUCUUAAGGAUCUUCUCUGAGCUCCAUGACGAGGUCAAAUAUCCCAACAUUAUAUACCCCUUCCCAGAACUUAUCACAUUUUGGGUCUUACCUAUAUCAGUAUUUGAGUGAAUAUUUGAUUAAUGUUCUCCACCCUCGCUUGACUAUAAACUACAUAAUAACUGGUUUUAUAUUUCCAGUGUCUUUCAAAAUGUCUAGCCCAUAAAUGCUCAAAAAACUACUUACGGUGUUGUUUUCCGUAAAUGAUCACAAAAGUAAAAUGCUGAUAUGAGGCUGGAAAGAUAGGCUGCCAAAAAGACCAGAGGCUCAGACAACAGAGGCCUCAUUGCCUAUCCCAUUUGGACAUAUACAUCCAGGAGUUCUUGGAUUAUAGUCUUCAGGAAAUAGAAGCUACCAGCAUCCACAUGCCUAGUCAAAGGGAGAAGUCUGUGAUGGAUGAAGAGAACAAAACUCGGGCUUGAGGGACCAGCUGGACUCACUGUGCGGCAGACAGAAUCCAUAAUCUCACUCAUCAUUUGACCUACUUAUGCGAUUACUCUGAUCAGUAUAAAACACUGAUGGCUUGGGUCUCCUGAAAUCAGUGUCCAUUCUGAGCCACUGCCCAGCAACUCCUCAAAAGUUCGAUUAUUUCUCUUUCCUCAAUGUAUAGUCACCCAGGUAAAUGGUCAUAGAUCUCUUAGGGGAAGAGUGGGGGGAAAAAGAUGAACUAUAUCAUUUCUUUUUGUUUGUUUAGUAGAGUUCUUUCUCAAAGGCUUUCUCCCCACUCUAAAUUACAGAGAUUCCAGGUCUGUAAAAUGGCUCAGGUCUGGGAAUUGAUGGAGGGAGCAUGAUCUCCUAUUUUUAGAAUUAGGUUAGCCUCCUAAGAAAGGGCUACAUUUACUGGCAA